ACGCUGGCGGCAGGCCUAACACAUGCAAGUCGAGCGGUAGAGAGAAGCUUGCUUCUCUUGAGAGCGGCGGACGGGUGAGUAAUGCCUAGGAAUCUGCCUGGUAGUGGGGGAUAACGUCCGGAAACGGACGCUAAUACCGCAUACGUCCUACGGGAGAAAGCAGGGGACCUUCGGGCCUUGCGCUAUCAGAUGAGCCUAGGUCGGAUUAGCUAGUUGGUGGGGUAAUGGCUCACCAAGGCGACGAUCCGUAACUGGUCUGAGAGGAUGAUCAGUCACACUGGAACUGAGACACGGUCCAGACUCCUACGGGAGGCAGCAGUGGGGAAUAUUGGACAAUGGGCGAAAGCCUGAUCCAGCCAUGCCGCGUGUGUGAAGAAGGUCUUCGGAUUGUAAAGCACUUUAAGUUGGGAGGAAGGGCAGUAAAUUAAUACUUUGCUGUUUUGACGUUACCGACAGAAUAAGCACCGGCUAACUCUGUGCCAGCAGCCGCGGUAAUACAGAGGGUGCAAGCGUUAAUCGGAAUUACUGGGCGUAAAGCGCGCGUAGGUGGCUCGUUAAGUUGGAUGUGAAAUCCCCGGGCUCAACCUGGGAACUGCAUUCAAAACUGACGAGCUAGAGUAUGGUAGAGGGUGGUGGAAUUUCCUGUGUAGCGGUGAAAUGCGUAGAUAUAGGAAGGAACACCAGUGGCGAAGGCGACCACCUGGACUGAUACUGACACUGAGGUGCGAAAGCGUGGGGAGCAAAC
This 745-nucleotide ribosomal RNA is filed under the name uncultured bacterium. RNAcentral's name for it is "bacterial SSU rRNA". It matches the Rfam family "Bacterial small subunit ribosomal RNA", at positions 33 to 773 of the family's 1533-position model. The record is from RNAcentral.